AGCCUUCAUAAAAACCUCAAAGGUUGGCGGGGGGGUUGUUCUGAGAGCUUCAAGGUUAAUGAACAUAUGGAGAUUAAAGAGAGUCGGCAUGCCUGGAGAAAGCAUGGAAUCUCCUCACCCUUUCAGUUUUUUUGUGUUGUGGAGCCAAUAUAUUUUGGCCAACUCUCAACCAUUUUUAUAAUCUGUUGGAGAGCCACAGGCCCUAAACAGUGUUCAUGUAGGCAAUGGAUAGUACAUCUCUUCUUGUGAAGUUUAAAUGACAUAAUCCACAUGAAGAACUUCGAACUGUGCAGACCCAUACAAAGC
RNAcentral lists this long non-coding RNA (306 nucleotides) under Mustela putorius furo (domestic ferret). RNAcentral's name for it is "lncRNA (ENSMPUG00000023878.1)". Lineage: Eukaryota; Metazoa; Chordata; Mammalia; Carnivora; Mustelidae. The record is from RNAcentral.